RNAcentral lists this ribosomal RNA (103 nucleotides) under Paraclostridium tenue. Lineage: Bacteria; Bacillati; Bacillota; Clostridia; Peptostreptococcales; Peptostreptococcaceae. The record is from RNAcentral.
AUUAUAGCAAAGAGGAUACACCUGUUCCCAUUCCGAACACAGAAGUUAAGCUCUUUAGCGCCGAUGGUACUUGGUGGGAAGCUGCCUGGGAGAGUAGGACGUA